ACUCCUACGGGAGGCAGCAGUGGGGAAUAUUGCACAAUGGGCGCAAGCCUGAUGCAGCCAUGCCGCGUGUAUGAAGAAGGCCUUCGGGUUGUAAAAUUCUUUCGCUAGGGAUGAUAAUGACAGUACCUAGUAAAGAAGCCCCGGCUAACUCCGUGCCAGCAGCCGCGGUAAUACGGAGGGGCUAGCGUUGUUCGGAAUUACUGGGCGUAAAGCGUGCGUAGGCGGAUUGGAAAGUUAGAGGUGAAAAUCCCGGGGCUCAACCCCGGAACUGCCUUUAAAAUACUUCCAGUCUAGAGUUCUGGAGAGGUAAGUGGAAUUCCUAGUGUAGAGGUGAAAUUCGUAGAUAUUAGGAGGGAACACCAGAGGCGAAGGCGGCUUACUGGACAGAUACUGACGCUGAGGCACGAAAGUGUGGGGAGCAAACAGGAUUAGAUACCCUGGUAGCUACGAG
This 451-nucleotide ribosomal RNA is filed under the name uncultured bacterium. RNAcentral's name for it is "bacterial SSU rRNA". It matches the Rfam family "Bacterial small subunit ribosomal RNA", at positions 335 to 801 of the family's 1533-position model. The record is from RNAcentral.